GACGAACGCUGGCGGCGCGCCUAACACAUGCAAGUCGAACGAGAGAUGAGGAGCUUGCUCUUCAAAUCGAGUGGCGAACGGGUGAGUAACGCGUGAGGAACCUGCCUCAAAGAGGGGGACAACAGUUGGAAACGACUGCUAAUACCGCAUAAGCCCACGGCUCGGCAUCGAGCAGAGGGAAAAGGAGCAAUCCGCUUUGAGAUGGCCUCGCGUCCGAUUAGCUAGUUGGUGAGGUAACGGCCCGCCAAGGCGACGAUCGGUAGCCGGACUGAGAGGUUGAACGGCCACAUUGGGACUGAGACACGGCCCAGACUCCUACGGGAGGCAGCAGUGGGGAAUAUUGCACAAUGGGGGAAACCCUGAUGCAGCGACGCCGCGUGGAGGAAGAAGGUCUUCGGAUUGUAAACUCCUGUUGUUGAGGAAGAUAAUGACGGUACUCAACAAGGAAGUGACGGCUAACUACGUGCCAGCAGCCGCGGUAAAACGUAGGUCACAAGCGUUGUCCGGAAUUACUGGGUGUAAAGGGAGCGCAGGCGGGAGAACAAGUUGGAAGUGAAAUCCAUGGGCUCAACCCAUGAACUGCUUUCAAAACUGUUUUUCUUGAGUAGUGCAGAGGUAGGCGGAAUUCCCGGUGUAGCGGUGGAAUGCGUAGAUAUCGGGAGGAACACCAGUGGCGAAGGCGGCCUACUGGGCACCAACUGACGCUGAGGCUCGAAAGUGUGGGUAGCAAACAGGAUUAGAUACCCUGGUAGUCCACACCGUAAACGAUGAUUACUAGGUGUUGGAGGAUUGACCCCUUCAGUGCCGCAGUUAACACAAUAAGUAAUCCACCUGGGGAGUACGACCGCAAGGUUGAAACUCAAAGGAAUUGACGGGGGCCCGCACAAGCAGUGGAGUAUGUGGUUUAAUUCGACGCAACGCGAAGAACCUUACCAAGUCUUGACAUCCCUUGACGAUGCUGGAAACAGUAUUUCUCUUCGGAGCAAGGAGACAGGUGGUGCAUGGUUGUCGUCAGCUCGUGUCGUGAGAUGUUGGGUUAAGUCCCGCAACGAGCGCAACCCUUAUGGUCAGUUACUACGCAAGAGGACUCUGGCCAGACUGCCGUUGACAAAACGGAGGAAGGUGGGGAUGACGUCAAAUCAUCAUGCCCUUUAUGACUUGGGCUACACACGUACUACAAUGGCGUUAAACAAAGAGAAGCAAGACCGCGAGGUGGAGCAAAACUCAGAAACAACGUCCCAGUUCGGACUGCAGGCUGCAACUCGCCUGCACGAAGUCGGAAUUGCUAGUAAUCGUGGAUCAGCAUGCCACGGUGAAUACGUUCCCGGGCCU
Molecule: ribosomal RNA, 1332 nt
Filed under: uncultured bacterium
Lineage: Bacteria
Description: bacterial SSU rRNA
Rfam family: Bacterial small subunit ribosomal RNA
Source: RNAcentral